Molecule: ribosomal RNA, 253 nt
Filed under: uncultured bacterium
Lineage: Bacteria
Description: partial 16S ribosomal RNA
Rfam family: Bacterial small subunit ribosomal RNA
Source: RNAcentral
UACGUAGGGUGCAAGCGUUGUCCGGAAUUAUUGGGCGUAAAGAGCUCGUAGGCGGUUUGUCGCGUCUGCUGUGAAAACCCGAGGCUCAACCUCGGGCCUGCAGUGGGUACGGGCAGACUAGAGUGCGGUAGGGGAGAUUGGAAUUCCUGGUGUAGCGGUGGAAUGCGCAGAUAUCAGGAGGAACACCUAUUGCGAAGGCGGCUCGCUGGGACGUUACUGACGCUGAGACGCGAAAGCGUGGGGAGCAAACAGG